CCUACGGGGGGCAGCAGUAGGGAAUAUUGCUCAAUGGGGGAAACCCUGAAGCAGCAACGCCGCGUGGAGGAUGAAGGUUUUAGGAUUGUAAACUCCUUUUGUGAGAGAAGAUAAUGACGGUAUCUCACGAAUAAGCACCGGCUAACUCCGUGCCAGCAGCCGCGGUAAUACGGAGGGUGCAAGCGUUACUCGGAAUCACUGGGCGUAAAGAGUGCGCAGGCGGGCUUGUAAGUCAGAUGUGAAAUCCUGUAGCUUAACUACAGAACUGCAUUUGAAACUAUGAGUCUAGAGUGUGGGAGAGGUAGGUGGAAUUCUUGGUGUAGGGGUAAAAUCCGUAGAUAUCAAGAGGAAUACUCAUUGCGAAGGCAGCUUACCAAGCUACUUCUGACGUUGAGGCACGAAAGCGUGGGGAGCAAACAGGAUUAGAUACCCGAGUAGUC
RNAcentral lists this ribosomal RNA (440 nucleotides) under uncultured bacterium. RNAcentral describes it as "partial 16S ribosomal RNA". It matches the Rfam family "Bacterial small subunit ribosomal RNA", at positions 338 to 795 of the family's 1533-position model. The record is from RNAcentral.